ACUCUGGGAUGAGAGGGGCUUACACCAGAAAGGGAAGAGUAACUGUUAACAAGAAUACCUAGAGAUGAAAAUACUGACCAGAAUGGUCCUCCCAGAGAUAACAACUAUAAACAACAGGAAAACGAACAAACAAAGACUUCCUGGAAGCAAUGGAGGCUGAACAAAGUUAAACAGAUUAUGGAGAGGAUUGGUUUGGAAGAGGGAAAUGGUUAAGGGAGACAAUUAUGGGAUGUGCAUUGCCAAAACAAGGUGACAAACAAAGAAAUGUGGAAAACAUAGGAUCCAGGGAACAAGGAUCCAAUGGAACACAGUGGAAAAGGAAGGAAAUUCCCAGGAUGACUGUGAAGAGAAGUCCUAACAGUACAACAGAUAUACAGUGCAAUCAGAAGGAUGGAGAUACCCA
Molecule: long non-coding RNA, 403 nt
Organism: Myotis brandtii (Brandt's bat)
Lineage: Eukaryota; Metazoa; Chordata; Mammalia; Chiroptera; Vespertilionidae
Exons: 3
Source: RefSeq, a predicted model, not a curated record